AUGACGUUUCAACAAGAGGGAGUGAGCAUUUUCCUUAAUGACGUCGCAUAUACCGGCUGUUUGACUCGGAAGCCAUACAAGCGUGUAAAGAAGAAAUGACCGACAGUGACCUCAGAUAAGAUGUUGAAGACCUAUCUUUUGUCUUCAUCUCUUUACAACACAUCAGCAAUAAUGUAGAACUCUGAAAAAACAAUUGUAAAUUUUGAAGCGCCUUCGAAACGUCGAGUCGUUACGCAUCUGUCUGUCUCCCAAACGUUCAUAUUUGCUGCGUAAAAUCAUGGAAAAUGCUGAAACAUCCGAUCAAAACGGAGCGACGCACUACACGAACGGUUUAGUAAACGGAUUUCACACCCUACAGUCCGAUGACGGGGAGUGUAUUUCAUCUAACGGAGGUGGUCUGGGUGCUAGUGACAGUAGCGGUGGCCAUAAUGGUAUUGAAAAUUUCCACCAUCUUCAUCAGGAUGUACACACCAAUGGUUCGCCCGCGAAGCGCUGCAGACUCCGAAGACGCGUGGAUUCGGGAAAGAAGAACAGACCGCCCUUUCCAUGGUUUGGGAUGGAUAUCGGAGGCACUCUGGUAAAGCUGGUUUACUUUGAGCCCAAGGACAUAACUGCUGAAGAAGAACAAGAAGAAGUGGAGAGCCUGAAGAGCAUCCGCCGCUAUCUGACCUCCAACGUGGCCUAUGGAAACAUGGGUAUCCGUGACGUUCACCUGGAGUUGAAGAACCUCACCAUGUGUGGCCGGAAAGGCAACCUACACUUCAUUCGGUUCCCCACGCAAGACAUGCACCGCUUCAUCCAAAUGGGCAGAGACAAGAACUUCUCCAGUCUACACACCACACUGUGCGCCACGGGUGGGGGCGCAUACAAGUUUGAGGACGACUUCAGAACGGUGGCUGGUUUGGAGCUCCAGAAGCUGGAUGAACUGGACUGUCUUAUUCAAGGUCUGCUGUAUGUUGACUCAGUCAGGUUCAAUGGCCAUCCCGGGUGUUAUUUUUUCCAAAAUCCCUCCGACCCUGAAAACUGUGUCAAGAGGCCAUUUAGCCUGGAGAACCCCUUCCCUAUGUUGCUGGUAAACAUUGGCUCGGGGGUUAGCAUCCUGGCUGUCUACUCCAAGGAUGAUUACAAGCGAGUCACAGGCACCAGUUUAGGAGGUGGCACGUUUCUAGGCCUGUGUUGUUUGCUGACUGGCUGUGAGACAUUUGAGGAGGCUUUAGAGAUGGCAGCUAAAGGGGACAGCACAAAUGUGGACAAACUAGUGAAGGACAUUUAUGGAGGUGAUUAUGAGCGCUUCGGUCUCCAGGGUUCCGCCGUUGCAUCCAGUUUUGGUCAUAUGAUGAGCAAGGAGAAACGUGAUAGUAUAAGUAAAGAGGACCUGGCCAGGGCCACUCUUGUCACCAUCACAAACAACAUUGGUUCCAUCGCCCGCAUGUGUGCAGUGAACGAGAAUAUCGAUAGAGUGGUUUUUGUUGGGAAUUUCCUUCGGAUCAACACCGUAUCAACUAAGCUGCUAGCCUAUGCCAUGGACUUCUGGUCUAACGGACAACUGAAAGCCCUUUUCUUAGAACAUGAAGGUUAUUUUGGAGCUGUUGGUGCCUUCCUAGAGCUACUGAAGAUGACUGAAGACUCCUGAGACACUGAGGAAAACCCAACCUUCAAACCAGAAGCUGCUGUAAGAUUUCAGGAAAGCCACAUCCCCUAAUAAGGAAAAGCCAUUUAAUAAUGUGACAAGUUUCCAUUUCUCUUCAAAUUAUCUACAUGUUGGCCCUUCUAUGCUCGUGACAGGAGCAACUGUUCAAGAGGUUGUGAUGCAACAGUGCACCAUUUUCAGUGUGUGAUGAGCUUCACCUCAUGCCAACUGUUUCUAGUCACCGUAGCCAUAAACCCAGCACAGCUUUGCCGUGUAUUGAUGAUUUGAGUGGAAGAUGAUUUAGGAUACUAAUGUUUGUAUACUCCCUCUACUCCCUGUUUGUGAGCUUUAUGAAAACAGUCGUAACAUAUGAAAAGGGUUUGGAGGUGAGUAUUAUGUGUAUUAGUGGAACAGCCUGCUGUAUAAAAACAACCUUCCCCAAUCCUCUCUGAACAAAUCAUGCUUUGAACCACAAAUCAGAUUUAUAUUUACGCAUAGAUAAGCGGUCUGUAAGAACAGUCCAUUUACGCGGGACUUUUCUCUCCCAAUUCCAGUCACAUACAAGCAUUUAUAAUAUCUGUAUUACGUUAAAAAUGCUAAGUUGUAUUAUUAAUCGUAAAGUCGUCUUGGACACUAAAGCGCGAGUCCAAAUUCAUUCAUUUUUUUAUAACAAUACAUCAAAUACCAUUUGAAUUUCAGUACUUUUCAAUUAGAUCAAUCUUUUAUUUGAACACUUUUACAGAAUUAGCAAACUGUUGUCAGGUAGACCUGUUUUAUCUACACUGGGCCUGAUUAGUGGAUGAUUAGUGGAUUGCUGGUAUGAGUAGUUGUAGUUUCUAAGAUAUCUUUACCUCCUUUUAACUGUCCUGUGUAAUGAACAGUGAACAUAUGCACCUGAGCUGACACUGAUUGUGUUGGGACCAAAUUGUCUACAUUGACUGGAAAACAGUAUCUUCAUCAGAUGGCGAAUUCUCAUAGUUCACUACAUAUAGUUUAGUAAGUCCUUUCUUACGGUGAUAAUGAUUUUUAUUCGGUUUUGCAGUCCCAAAUGCUGAGAUUUCUCUGAUCUGAAUGUGUUAACAGUUUACCCUGUGUAUAUACACUGUAGUGUGUAAUGUUUUGUUGUUUUGUUUUUAUUUAAUUUAACAUUUGCACAAACCAUCUCUUGUCAUAUUCAUGCCAUUAUGCAGUGAUGUCUUAAAUUUCAUUUGAGACUGCUAACCAAGACAUAUAUUUACUGUCAAACCUCCUCGCAGAUGCCUUUAUCCUUUCAACAUUUUCAUCUUAAACAUCAUCUAUUACUGAACAUAUUUUGCCUUUUUUCCCCCCUCAUGUAUCAACAUGAGAAUCUCUAACUAUAUGCCUAAACACCUUUUAACUCUCUGUAUUAAUGCUGGACAGCUGGGUCUGACUGUGCACGCUCCAGGUUGUUGUUCAGAACCAGAUGUAUGUUAAAAUGUGCUCCUAAAGCUGGAAUCAGAAAUUCCAAAAAAGUUAUUCCAGUCACUAUAAUCUGUCUAAAUAUGUAAAUCAGAAACAUACGCCUUUCUAAGAGAAAAUGUAUCGCUUUUCCCUCCGUUUGAGCCACAGCAUGACACCAGAUACAUUUCUGCCAAUUUAAAUUUCUCAUCUUGCCUUGACACUGUAAAUAUGAACUAAAAAGGCAUUCAAUACUUUAUUUUUAACAGCACUGAGAAAAUAAACCGGUUUCAAGCUUGUUUUUUUUAUUUAAUUUUUUUUGCUGAACAUCGUGAAUGCAAGCAAGACCAAAACUCCUAAAAGGAAGUAAUAAGAGGAAUAAUAUCAUGAUGCAAUUUCUAUUAGACGAUUCUGUCUUUUAUGUCAAAAAUAAUCACCUAUUGUGAGUGUACUGAACCUACUACAUGUUCAUCAGGUACUGUAACUCAACAACAGACCUGUGCUGACAUUAAUGUGUCUUUUAGCUGCUGGUAACAUCUGUAACAGCACAUUAAGCACACUGCCUCUACUUCUUUUCCUUCUGUCUGUUGAUUGAUGCUUUACUUCUUCUGCUCAGUCCUUAGAAUUGCCUUAUGCCAGUGGGGUGCCAUUUUGUCUUUGGAUGUCACUCUGGAUUAUGCACAAUGGCAUCCCAACAUCUCUCUGAGCCACAAAAGUAACUUCCAAGUGUUACGGGGUGCCUUUUACUGAUAGAGACAAGGCUUUAUCUCUGUAUCCUCUGUAUUGUUGCUAAUGCUAAAUCCAGAUGUCACUGUAUACAGUAAACAGUAUAUUUGGGGUGUUUUCUUUUUCUUUUUGGGGGGUAUUGCUUUACCUGUAUUCCACAGCAGACUGAAUGCAUGUGUCGGUACAUUGUGUUUUUACUGAGCCAAUGCAAAGCAUGUAAGCAAUUUCUGAACAGGUGUGUCAUUUCCUUAAGGUGAUGAUAUACGGGGCAACAUUUUGAGCAAUGUUGCUGGUCAAUGUUACCAUCAACGGGCAACCAGGUAUCCCAUUC
Sinocyclocheilus rhinocerous is the source of this 4106-nucleotide RNA transcript. It is a transcript of the gene named pantothenate kinase 3-like, with no coding region annotated. Lineage: Eukaryota; Metazoa; Chordata; Actinopteri; Cypriniformes; Cyprinidae. The transcript has 8 exons. The record is from RefSeq and is a predicted model, not a curated record.